This 570-nucleotide ribosomal RNA is filed under the name Pholiota sp. PT151007. RNAcentral describes it as "eukaryotic LSU rRNA". The stretch from base 256 to 409 matches the Rfam family "5.8S ribosomal RNA". Lineage: Eukaryota; Fungi; Basidiomycota; Agaricomycetes; Agaricales; Strophariaceae. The record is from RNAcentral.
AUUAUUGAAUGAACUUGGCAUGAUUGUAGCUGGUCCUUUCGAGGGCAUGUGCACGUCUGUCAUCUUUAUCUUUCCACCUGUGCACCAAUUGUAGGUCUAAAAAAAUUUUCCCCCGAGACGCUUGUUGGGGGGUAUGGGGGUUUGCUGUGUAUUAUCACCAGCUUUCCCUGGAUUUUCUAGAUCUAUGUUUUCAUAUACACCAUAAAAUGUAAUAGAAUGUUAUUAUUGGGCAUUUGUUGCCUAUAAACUAUAUACAACUUUCAGCAACGGAUCUCUUGGCUCUCGCAUCGAUGAAGAACGCAGCGAAAUGCGAUAAGUAAUGUGAAUUGCAGAAUUCAGUGAAUCAUCGAAUCUUUGAACGCACCUUGCGCUCCUUGGUAUUCCGAGGAGCAUGCCUGUUUGAGUGUCAUUAAAUUCUCAACCUUAUCAGCUUUUGUUGAUAAUGGCUUGGAUGUGGGGGUUUAUUGCUAGCUUCUAAUGAGGUUGGCUCCCCUUAAAUGUAUUAGCUGGUUGCCUUGUGCAGACUUGUCUAUUGGUGUGAUAAUUAUCUACGCUGUGGACUUUCUGCCA